GACUUAUAUAAUUUUGAUUGUUGCUCAGAAAGCCCUUAUUUUCAUAUCAGUUGGCUUUCGAGCAUCAAUCAAAAACAAAUAAGUU
Non-coding RNA from Glossina austeni, 85 nucleotides. Lineage: Eukaryota; Metazoa; Arthropoda; Insecta; Diptera; Glossinidae. The record is from Rfam.